AACGGUCUAUACCUGCGGUACCUGCGGAGGGAUCAUUACCGAGCCCUGCCCUUGGGCAGAUCUCCUACCCACCGUGAUCACUACCCUCGUUGCCUUGGCGGGCCACCAGCCGGCGGCUCGCCAAAGGACCCCCCAGACCCUAGAUGUCGGUGUUGUCCGAGUACAGUUUAUAAUGAUUAAAACUUUCAACAACGGAUCUCU
RNAcentral lists this unclassified non-coding RNA (201 nucleotides) under soil metagenome. Its description in RNAcentral is "partial contains 5.8S ribosomal RNA, internal transcribed spacer 2, and large subunit ribosomal RNA". The record is from RNAcentral.